UUCAUUCUUCAAUCCUGUGCUCCAUUCAACCUUCAUUGAUAUGGAUUUUGAGAAUGAGAACCAGAGAGAGAAAGAGAGGAUUUGGGAGAAAGAGACCAUCUCUUAAUUCACCCUCAUCUUCUGUUCUGUUGAUUGCGGCGAGGUGUACCCCGCGGCGGCGUUGAUUACUUUGCGCAGAUUUGUGAUGUAAGGAGUCCGCGAAGCUAUUAAAACUUGACUUCUUCACCGAGUGCUAAACGGUGGUAAGCGCUUACAGUAAUCUCAUUAACGUAAACCCUAGAUAUUUGAUUAUGUUUUGUGAUUAAAAAUAAAAGAUGACUGUUUCGUUUUAUGUGUAAAUGCUUGGAUUAAUUUCAUUUUCAAUUUAUUAGAUUGUGACUAGGGUUGAGAUUAGUUGAAGUUUUGUUUUGUAAUCUCUCAUGGUUAUCAAAGCUAAACAAUUACAUUAGUAGAAUAUUAUACCUAUUUGUGGAGAAAACAGGCUGAUUACUUGUACAUAAGUGGAAGAAAGAAGUUCUUUAGGCUAUGGUCGAUCCAUUGAAGGUUUGAUAUAAAUAAAAUUAUGAUACUCAAAAUCCAAAAGUUAAUAAUAGUGUUUGUAUUUUUUUAACAGUUUUACUUUGAAAUUAUUGGAGAAAUUUUCUUUUAUACCUGGCAGCGCAUCAAUCACGGGAUAACUACAAGGACAUCGAAAGGCUGUAGGACUACGACGACCGGCUCAACGAUUCCAACAGCAAAUAUCAGGGUUGACAAUGCCGCCACGAUUCAGAAGAGGCAGAGGCAAGGCCCCAGUGACGGGCCAUGACCACGAGGCCGAACCUUCCCACCGGGCCGCCACGAUUCAAAUGUUGAACAUUAACAUUUACCAAAUCUAAUCAAAAGAACAUAUUCAUCCCUAUUCUCUCAAACCCUAAUACUCAAUCAUAGAAUACAGAUUCAAUAGUUUGUAUUUAUGUUUUGAUAAGGCAAAUUUGACAUUAGAUGUAUAUAUGAUAUAUGCAGAAUCUGGUGCUAAACCAGCAACAAAAAAUUAUCAAAACUACUUAAAGUUUGAAUAUGGGUGUGAGAGGGGUGGUUAGUUUGACCUUGAUGUAUUGUCGAAGUUAUAUCCCAACCGAACGUCAUGAUCAUUUUUCUCAUCAUAUAUUAGAGUUUUCGUUUGGUUUUUAGACUUGUGGUUUGCUAUAAAUUUCAAACAAUCCCAACCAAAAGAGUACAAACUAUUCGUCUAUGCCUUUAUUUUAUUUUAUUUAUUGGUGUCUUUGCUAUUGUUUGAAUUAGUCUUUUGGGUAGUGCAGGUUCAGGUGUUGAGUUUUAUUUGUUGCUAGCCAACGGAGCAAGCAGAUAACUACUUCUUGAUUAUUAAUGUUCUAAACGUAACCCGUUUUGCAGAUGACAAAACUACCCCACCAAAGAAAGGCAAGAAUCAUGGACUAGGCUCGAUGCUAUUGAUUCAAUAUGAUGAUUCACUUUUGGGGCUAGGCUCGAUGCCUUUUGGUAUAUCGUUGUUGUUGGUUGUGAUCAUUGUGUGGUUUUUGUUGCUACCACAUGGCUACCAGCAACAACCGAGUUGGUAAUGAGAUUUCACAUGGUACUGAGUUUCUGAGCCUGAUAAGAAUACUUGGAGAAGGCUUUGAUGAUUGGGUAGAAUUUAUGCAAGGAUGAAUUUUUAUUGUGUUGGCGGCCAAAAGAGAGGGUCAUUUGAAUGGCUUUACCUUCACUUGGAAACCAGGCAGAGGCCCUCCAGCUAUGAGCUAGAUUACAAAACGAGAAAUAAAAAUAAACACAUUACAAACUAGGCACAUCGAAGCGGGUUAGAACUCCAAGCCAUGAAGAUCCAAUAUUUGUGCUUAGCACGGUUCUUAAUCCAAUGGAGAUAAAGAGAAAGAUCUUGACAUGGAUAUUCUAUACAACCCCCUGGUGCAUAUGGAAGGAAAGAAACUGCGGAGUCUUCAGAAGAUCAUACACCACGGAUCAAAAGGUUUUGAAAGAUACUAUUUAUACGUACAUUUGAAAAAAUUAACUGCCCAUGAUUUUGUUUGUUACGGUAGCGAAUGAGUUGCAUGUUUUAUUUGUGAUUAUGUGACAGAAGGCUUCAUUUCAGUUGUUCAAUGUUUAUAAUUUGUUUAGCCAUAUAUUGCAGAACUUAUUAAUUUGAAUAACUUCAAAUAUUUGUGUAACAAUAAUUCUUUUUAAAUUUGUUAAAAAGAAUUCAUUU
RNAcentral lists this long non-coding RNA (2218 nucleotides) under Helianthus annuus (common sunflower). RNAcentral's name for it is "hypothetical non coding rna". Lineage: Eukaryota; Viridiplantae; Streptophyta; Magnoliopsida; Asterales; Asteraceae. The record is from RNAcentral.